GUUUUUAGGGUGAGGGGCAGGUCCUGUACAGUGAUCAUGUGACUGUGUUGGGGCAGUUUUUAGGGUGAGGGGCAGGUCCUGUACAGUGAUCAUGUGACUGUGUUGGGGCAGUUUUUAGGGUGAGGGGCAAGUCCUGUACAGUGAUCAUGUGACUGUGUUGGGGCAGUUAUCAGGGUGAGGGGCAGGUCCUGUACAGUGAUCAUGUGACUGUGUUGGGGCAGUUUUUAGGGUGAGGGGCAGGUCCUCUACAGUGAUCACCUGCCCCACUCUUCCUCUUCCCCAUGGAUCCCAUCGACGCCCUGUAUCAGAAGUGAGACAAUUGUAACGAACCUCCAGCAGUAAGAAGAGCGUCUUCCAUUCACUGACUGCAGAGAUCAUAGACGGGCUCUGAGAGACCUGAGAAUGUCUUCCACCGAUGGUCCCAUCCAACCUGACAGCUGAGAGGGUCUACAGAGAAGAACGGACGAAAAUCCCCAAAUCCUGGUGUAAACCUUGUGGCCUCAUCCCCAAGAAGACUGGAGGCUGGAAUGGCUGCCAAAGGCCUGGAAUUUGAUCUGGAGAUCUCCUCCAUAAUGGCCGAGCAGGACGCGGAUCUUCACAUACAGCCGCCAUAUUGCGGUAUUGACAGUCUGAAGUUUGUACCUGUUCACAUUGGUUUCCUCCAGACGCUCUUCAGUCCUGAUCAUCUGGAUCCCAUAAAAUUGUCCCUGCAGUGUACGUGAAAUUGGUGACCUA
Molecule: long non-coding RNA, 735 nt
Organism: Hyla sarda
Lineage: Eukaryota; Metazoa; Chordata; Amphibia; Anura; Hylidae
Exons: 3
Source: RefSeq, a predicted model, not a curated record